CCCUUAGAUGUUCUGGGCCGCACGCGCGCUACACUGAUGCAUUCAACGAGCACCCGCUGGGCCGAGAGGUCCGGCUAAUCUUUGAACGUGCAUCGUGCUGGGGAUAGAUGAUUGCAAUUAUUCAUCUUCAACGAGGAAUUCCUAGUAAACGCAAGUCAUCAGCUUGCAUUGAUUACGUCCCUGCCCUUUGUACACACCGCCCGUCGCACCUACCGAUUGAAUGGUCCGGUGAAGCGUUCGGACCGUGGCCUUUGGACGGUUCGCCGUCUGUUGGCUGCGGGAAGUUCGUUAAACCUUAUCAUUUAGAGGAAGGAGAAGUCGUAACA
Molecule: ribosomal RNA, 326 nt
Filed under: uncultured eukaryote
Lineage: Eukaryota
Description: partial 18S ribosomal RNA
Rfam family: Eukaryotic small subunit ribosomal RNA
Source: RNAcentral